RNAcentral lists this ribosomal RNA (253 nucleotides) under uncultured bacterium. Its description in RNAcentral is "partial 16S ribosomal RNA". It matches the Rfam family "Bacterial small subunit ribosomal RNA", at positions 524 to 776 of the family's 1533-position model. The record is from RNAcentral.
UACGUAGGGGGCAAGCGUUGUCCGGAUUUAUUGGGCGUAAAGAGCUCGUAGGCGGCUCAUCGCGUCUGCCGUGAAAACCCGCAGCUCAACUGCGGGCUUGCGGUUGAUAGGGGUGGGCUGGAGUUCGGUAGGGGAGACUGGAAUUCCUGGUGUAGCGGUGAAAUGCGCAGAUAUCAGGAGGAACACCAACGGCGAAGGCAGCGCGCUGGGACGGGACUGACGCUGAGGCGCGAAAGCGUGGGGAGCGAACAGG